This 254-nucleotide ribosomal RNA is filed under the name uncultured bacterium. RNAcentral describes it as "partial 16S ribosomal RNA". It matches the Rfam family "Bacterial small subunit ribosomal RNA", at positions 524 to 776 of the family's 1533-position model. The record is from RNAcentral.
UACGAAGGGUGCAAGCGUUGCUCGGAAUUAUUGGGCGUAAAAGGGUUGGUAGGUGGUCUUGUUUGUCUAAGGUGAAAUCCCAUGGCUUAACUGUGGAAGUGCCUUAGAAACGGCAAGACUAGAGUCCUAGAGGGGUUUGUGGAAUUCCCGGUGUAGCGGUGAAAUGCGUAGAGAUCGGGAGGAACACCAGCGGCGAAGGCGGCAAACUGGAUAGGCACUGACACUCAACAACGAAAGCGUGGGGAGCAAACAGG